CCUACGGGUGGCAGCAGUGAGGAAUAUUGGUCAAUGGACGAGAGUCUGAACCAGCCAAGUAGCGUGAAGGAUGACUGCCCUAUGGGUUGUAAACUUCUUUUAUAUGAGAAUAAAAUGUUCCACGUGUGGGAUUUUGUAUGUACCAUAUGAAUAAGGAUCGGCUAACUCCGUGCUAGCAGCCGCGGUAAUACGGAGGAUCCGAGCGUUAUCCGGAUUUAUUGGGUUUAAAGGGAGCGUAGGUGGAUUGUUAAGUCAGUUGUGAAAGUUUGCGGCUCAACCGUAAAAUUGCAGUUGAUACUGGCAGUCUUGAGUACAGUAGAGGUGAGCGGAAUUCGUGGUGUAGCGGUGAAAUGCUUAGAUAUCACGAAGAACUCCGAUUGCGAAGGCAGCUCACUGGACUGCAACUGACACUGAGGCUCGAAAGUGUGGGUAGCAAACAGGAUUAGAUACCCUGGUAGUC
RNAcentral lists this ribosomal RNA (460 nucleotides) under uncultured bacterium. Its description in RNAcentral is "partial 16S ribosomal RNA". It matches the Rfam family "Bacterial small subunit ribosomal RNA", at positions 338 to 795 of the family's 1533-position model. The record is from RNAcentral.